AUACAGAGGGUGCGAGCGUUAAUGGGAAUUACUGGGCGUAAAGCGCGCGUAGGCGGCUUAUUAAGUCAGAUGUGAAAUCCCCGGGCUCAACCUGGGAACUGCAUCUGAUACUGGUAAGCUAGAGUUUUGGAGAGGGAAGUAGAAUUUCAGGUGUAGCGGUGAAAUGCAUAGAGAUCUGAAGGAAUACCAGUGGCGAAGGCGACUUCCUGGCCAAAAACUGACGCUGAGGUGCGAAAGCGUGGGUAGCAAACGGGAUUAGAAACCCUUGUAGUCC
Molecule: ribosomal RNA, 274 nt
Filed under: uncultured bacterium
Lineage: Bacteria
Description: partial 16S ribosomal RNA
Rfam family: Bacterial small subunit ribosomal RNA
Source: RNAcentral